AACGCUGGCGGCAUGCCUAAAUACAUGCAAGUCGAACGAGGCGGAAGGAAGCUUGCUUUCUGAGGCCUAGUGGCGAACGGGUGAGUAACACGUGGGCAAUCUGCCCGUAUGUCGUGGAUAACGGUUGGAAACGACAGCUAAUACAGGAUGAGCAUCCCGAAGGCAUCUUUGGGAUGGAAAAGGGGCCAAGGCCCCGCAUACGGAUGAGCCUGCGGUGCAUUAGCUGGUUGGUGAGGUAACGGCUCACCAAGGCGAUGAUGCAUAGCCGACCUGAGAGGGUGACCGGCCACAUUGGGACUGAGACACGGCCCAAACUCCUACGGGAGGCAGCAGUAGGGAAUUUUCGUCAAUGGGGGGAACCCUGAACGAGCAAUGCCGCGUGAGCGAAGAAGGUCUUCGGAUCGUAAAGCUCUGUUGUAAGAGAAAAACGAGCGCCAUAGGGAAUGAUGGAGCAGUGAUGGUAUCUUACCAGAAAGCCACGGCUAACUACGUGCC
Molecule: ribosomal RNA, 495 nt
Filed under: uncultured bacterium
Lineage: Bacteria
Description: bacterial SSU rRNA
Rfam family: Bacterial small subunit ribosomal RNA
Source: RNAcentral